AAAAAAGAAGAGCUGUAAACACUUAAUAUUUGGGGUCUCAGAAGUUUGGUGGACAUGACCCCUGGACCUGUUUAAAAUGUUGGGUUCCUUUCAACUCCACUGUGUUUCGGCCUGUAUCUGCAUGUCAGGAAGUUUGGGUUAGAGCACAGGGUCAGCCAUGAUACAGCGCCCCCUGGAGCAGAGAGGGUUAAGGGCCUUGCUCAAGGGUCCAACAGUGGCAGCUUGGCAGUGCUGGGGCUUGAACCCCCGACCUUCCGAUCAGUAACCCAGAGCCUUAACCGCCAAGCCACCACAGAAGCUGCAUUAGAAUCUACAUUAAUUAUUUUCAUAGAAAUAAAUGUAGUGAAGUGGCAUCAGGCCCUGACUCGGCCUCCGUUACUCCACUAUUUCUAACUAUUCAUUAACAGAGAAAUGACAAAACCAGUGUGAUUUAUAUGAGCUGUUCUCACAAUGGCCUUGGCCCGGAGAAAAAAACGAAGGAUCUCCCUUCCAGAGGAAAAAAAAAAAAUGUAGACAAGGAAAGAAUGAAGAAAAUAUGGAAGGAAUCUCCUCCCAGGUCAAACCACAAUGGUGGGAAAAGUUUGACUUACUCCAAAAGAGAGAGAUUUGUCUAAAAAGUUAGCGUUCUUCCUUUUCUUCUUUAUCCGAGUCUAAUUGCUUUACUCUGUUGGAAAUAAACAAAGCUGCUUUUGUAUAAUGUGAACGCUUCAAAAUAACCUUAGGGAUGUGGUGUGUGUGUGUGUGUGCGUGUGCAUGCUGGCUAAUAAGAAGCAGCUCAGUGUGAAAUGUAACAGCUGGAUGCACAUAAAACUUCAAAGCUAGGCUUAAUCAGAG
Ictalurus punctatus (channel catfish) is the source of this 834-nucleotide long non-coding RNA. The record is from Ensembl. NCBI's taxonomy places the organism in Eukaryota, Metazoa, Chordata, Actinopteri, Siluriformes, Ictaluridae.